UACGAAGGGGGCUAGCGUUGCUCGGAAUCACUGGGCGUAAAGCGCACGUAGGCGGAUCGCUAAGUCAGGGGUGAAAUCCUGGAGCUCAGCUCCAGAACUGCCUUUGAUACUGGCAAUCUCGAGUCCGGGAGAGGUGAGUGGAACUGCGAGUGUAGAGGUGAAAUUCGUAGAUAUUCGCAAGAACACCAGUGGCGAAGGCGGCUCACUGGCCCGGUACUGACGCUGAGGUGCGAAAGCGUGGGGAGCAAACAGG
This 253-nucleotide ribosomal RNA is filed under the name uncultured bacterium. Its description in RNAcentral is "partial 16S ribosomal RNA". It matches the Rfam family "Bacterial small subunit ribosomal RNA", at positions 524 to 776 of the family's 1533-position model. The record is from RNAcentral.